GACGAACGCUGGCGGCGUGCUUAACACAUGCAAGUCGAACGGAAAGGCCCUGCUUGCAGGGUACUCGAGUGGCGAACGGGUGAGUAACACGUGGGUGAUCUGCCCUGCACUUCGGGAUAAGCCUGGGAAACUGGGUCUAAUACCGGAUAGGAGCCAUUUUUAGUGUGAUGGUUGGAAAGUUUUUUCGGUGUAGGAUGAGCUCGCGGCCUAUCAGCUUGUUGGUGGGGUAAUGGCCUACCAAGGCGGCGACGGGAAGCCGGCCUGAGAGGGUGGACGGCCACAUUGGGACUGAGAUACGGCCCAGACUCCGACGGGAGGCAGCAGGGGGGAAUAUUGCACAAUGGGCGCAAGCCUGAUGCAGCGACGCCGCGUGGGGGAGGACGGCCUUCGGGUUGGAAACUCCUUUCGCUAGGGACGAAGCUUUUUGUGACGGUACCUAGAGAAGAAGCACCGGCUAACUACGUG
RNAcentral lists this ribosomal RNA (465 nucleotides) under uncultured bacterium. RNAcentral describes it as "partial 16S ribosomal RNA". It matches the Rfam family "Bacterial small subunit ribosomal RNA", at positions 28 to 507 of the family's 1533-position model. The record is from RNAcentral.